Helianthus annuus (common sunflower) is the source of this 590-nucleotide long non-coding RNA. RefSeq lists it as uncharacterized. NCBI's taxonomy places the organism in Eukaryota, Viridiplantae, Streptophyta, Magnoliopsida, Asterales, Asteraceae. The record is from RefSeq and is a predicted model, not a curated record. The transcript is spliced from 4 exons.
GACUUCUGAUCCACUGUAAUUUCUUCUGUACUUUCAGGGUCAUUCAAGUUACCGACACUUUAGCUUCAAAAUUUGAUGAAUUUGAGUCUGACUUCAACAGGAUUUUUGAAAGUCUUAUAUUGCCAUGAAUGACAUCAUCACUAUGCAAAUAGUCAAGUCCACGAGCAGCACCAUGACAGAUCUGGAGGCGCUGUAUCGCGGUUAUGAACGACGUGGACUAAGACUUAACUGGAAUCUCGGGCAUAAUUCGUUCAAAAUGUUGCACAUGCUGAAUUCCACUAACGUUCAUGGAGCUUGCCGCUCUCACACACCCCACGCCCCCAUUCAAAAAUCGAACUGCGCAAUUGUUAAACAUCGAGAUCUGAAGAAUCAAGAUUCAAGAUACGAAUAUUAAAGAUCGAGAUCUGAAAGUCGAAGACCCAAGGUUUCAUAUGGUGCCUUGGAAGUUCGAAGGAUGGAUUGGAAUCGGAUGAGUGGAUUUGGAAGAUUAUGUGUUUAUUUCGACUUUUAAAACAAUGUUAUGUGUUAUUUUCGACAUGUUAUGUGUUAUUUUAGAACUUUGAAUUGUGUUGGUUUGUUUCUUUUGAACA